Molecule: long non-coding RNA, 749 nt
Organism: Anastrepha obliqua
Lineage: Eukaryota; Metazoa; Arthropoda; Insecta; Diptera; Tephritidae
Exons: 3
Source: RefSeq, a predicted model, not a curated record
UGCUGUGCGACGACAAAUGCUACAAAAAGAUGCCAAUUUAAAUACAAUUUUAGAAGAAUGGCCUCAGUAUAAGCAGAGUUUUGGACAUUUAAUGAACUGGAUUUUAAGAAGCUGUACCCCGAAAAGCAAAAUUUGUUAUUUGAUAAAUGGGAGAGCUUCUGCCAAGCGAUUCCACCUUUGCUAGAAAUUUACAUUAAAGAUUCAAACAGCUUAACUACUUGGAGGCAGUUUAAAGAAGGAAGCAUCAAUGCUGAUGCAAAAGACUUAGUCAUUUUUUAUCUUCUACACUCUGUCUUAAUUCCAACUGGCCGAACAUAUAGAACAUGCAAACAGACAAAAAAAACACUUCAUCAAGUACACUAUUGCAGAUUCAAGAAAUAGUUUCUUACUGUGGGCACCGACAAGUAGUGAACUUCAGUCAAAAUUGAAAUUAAUGGUAGAUGCAAAUUAUAUGGAUAAAAGUACGAUUCAGCCAAUUAUAUGUUCCAUUGGAUUGGAUUAUUUUUAUUGCAAGGAAUAUUAUGUGUAUUUCGCCGAUAUAUUUUAUAAGUUCGAUAACCUAAUCAAGUGUAUUGAUGUGUGUUUUAAAACAUUCCAUGUACUUAACCUUGAGUAUCCGCCCGAAUGUAGGACCAUUUGGCUUUUUGUCCAGCAGUAUUUCUAUAACAUUUCCUUGAAAUCUCGCGAGAAAAAUGGGUCUAUUUGUGCAAUUUUAAAUGAUUUGGAAAAACAAAAUAAGACUUAAAAUA